AGUCGGCUAGAGAGCGGGGCUCUUCUUCUUCCGGGGAGGCAAAGUCCUCUACUGAUCGAAGGUUCGGAGGUCUUCGUCAACAU
This 83-nucleotide transfer RNA is filed under the name Zygophyllum fabago. RNAcentral describes it as "tRNA-Arg". The record is from RNAcentral. Lineage: Eukaryota; Viridiplantae; Streptophyta; Magnoliopsida; Zygophyllales; Zygophyllaceae.